Molecule: transfer RNA, 77 nt
Filed under: Gammaproteobacteria bacterium SG8_47
Lineage: Bacteria; Pseudomonadati; Pseudomonadota; Gammaproteobacteria
Also listed under: 1 other name
Description: tRNA-Arg
Rfam family: tRNA
About the family: Transfer RNA (tRNA) molecules are approximately 80 nucleotides in length. Their secondary structure includes four short double-helical elements and three loops (D, anti-codon, and T loops).
Source: RNAcentral
GCCCCGGUAGCUCAGUUGGAUAGAGCAAUCCCCUCCUAAGGGAUAGGUCAGACGUUCGAGUCGUCUUCGGGGCGCCA